UGAACGCUGGCGGCGUGCCUAAUACAUGCAAGUCGAGCGAACGGACGAGAAGCUUGCUUCUCUGAUGUUAGCGGCGGACGGGUGAGUAACACGUGGAUAACCUACCUAUAAGACUGGGAUAACUUCGGAAAACCGGAGCUAAUACCGGAUGAUAUUUUGAACCGCAUGGUUCAAAAGUGAAAGACGGUCUUGCUGUCACUUAUAGAUGGAUCCGCGCUGCAUUAGCUAGUUGGUAAGGUAACGGCUUACCAAGGCAACGAUGCAUAGCCGACCUGAGAGGGUGAUCGGCCACACUGGAACUGAGACACGGUCCAGACUCCUACGGGAGGCAGCAGUAGGGAAUCUUCCGCAAUGGGCGAAAGCCUGACGGAGCAACGCCGCGUGAGUGAUGAAGGUCUUCGGAUCGUAAAACUCUGUUAUUAGGGAAGAACAUAUGUGUAAGUAACUGUGCACAUCUUGACGGUACCUAAUCAGAAAGCCACGGCUAACUACGUG
This 495-nucleotide ribosomal RNA is filed under the name uncultured bacterium. Its description in RNAcentral is "partial 16S ribosomal RNA". It matches the Rfam family "Bacterial small subunit ribosomal RNA", at positions 30 to 507 of the family's 1533-position model. The record is from RNAcentral.